AAGCCCGAGGAACCGGAUAUCUGCAACGAGCGGGCGGAAGUGGUGGUAGGCUAAGCUGACUGGCACCGGGAAGGCUGAUAGGGACCUCAAACUCAGGGCCUUCUAUACCUGUGAGUUCUGGGCCUAAAACUGAGGCUGAGGCUGCAGCCUCCUAAGGAGGCUGCACACACACUUCCUAACUGUAAAGGCCUUAUCAGAUGCUGCUGGUAGAAGGAGCAGAGCACUGGCUGGUUGGAAGAAAAUCCACAAGCUUUUCUCAUGAAGCCCCGGGUAAGCAUCAAACAGAGUACUAAAGGAGUCCAUCUCCUUCACCUACUUUUCUGCUCCAGAAAGAACAUAAAGCAAGGGCUCUUUCUUCUCUGGGCUCUGCCACCUCCCCCAGGCCUCCCCUGCCCUAGAGAUCACAGACAUGCACACCAGAUUCCCCCUUAAAUAGCUGUUUAUUGGCAGUAGGCUGGAAACAGUGGAGUUAGCGUACACAGACAACACCAGG
Capra hircus (goat) is the source of this 493-nucleotide long non-coding RNA. RefSeq lists it as uncharacterized. The record is from RefSeq and is a predicted model, not a curated record. Lineage: Eukaryota; Metazoa; Chordata; Mammalia; Artiodactyla; Bovidae. The transcript is spliced from 2 exons.